Molecule: unclassified non-coding RNA, 358 nt
Filed under: soil metagenome
Description: partial contains 5.8S ribosomal RNA, internal transcribed spacer 2, and large subunit ribosomal RNA
Rfam family: 5.8S ribosomal RNA (bases 1-120)
Source: RNAcentral
GAUGAAGAACGCAGCGAAAUGCGAUAAGUAAUGUGAAUUGCAGAAUUCAGUGAAUCAUCGAAUCUUUGAACGCACAUUGCGCCCGUCAGUAUUCUGGCGGGCAUGCCUGUUCGAGCGUCAUUACGCCCCUCAAGUCCCCUGUGGACUUGAUGUUGGGGAUCGGCGAGGCUGGUUUUCCAGCACAGCCGUCCCUUAAAUUAAUUGGCGGUCUCGCCGUGGCCCUCCUCUGCGCAGUAGUAAAACACUCGCAACAGGAGCCCGGCGCGGUCCACUGCCGUAAAACCCCCCAACUUUUUAUAGUUGACCUCGAAUCAGGUAGGACUACCCGCUGAACUUAAGCAUAUCAAUAAGCGGAGGA